This 253-nucleotide ribosomal RNA is filed under the name uncultured Oceanithermus sp. Its description in RNAcentral is "partial 16S ribosomal RNA". It matches the Rfam family "Bacterial small subunit ribosomal RNA", at positions 524 to 776 of the family's 1533-position model. The record is from RNAcentral. Lineage: Bacteria; Thermotogati; Deinococcota; Deinococci; Thermales; Thermaceae.
UACGGAGGGUGCGAGCGUUAUCCGGAAUCACUGGGCGUAAAGGGCGCGUAGGCGGCCCGUCAAGUCCGGCGUCAAAGCCCGGGGCUCAACCCCGGUAAGGCGCCGGGUACUGGCGGGCUCGACGGCCGGAGAGGCGAGCGGAAUUACCAGUGUAGCGGUGGAAUGCGUAGAUACUGGUAGGAACACCCAUUGCGAAGGCAGCUCGCUGGACGGCGCGUGACGCUGAGGCGCGAAAGCGUGGGGAGCAAACCGG